Molecule: transfer RNA, 90 nt
Filed under: Hyphomonadaceae bacterium
Lineage: Bacteria; Pseudomonadati; Pseudomonadota; Alphaproteobacteria; Hyphomonadales; Hyphomonadaceae
Description: tRNA-Ser
Rfam family: tRNA
About the family: Transfer RNA (tRNA) molecules are approximately 80 nucleotides in length.
Source: RNAcentral
GGACUGGUGGCCGAGCGGUUGAAGGCGCACGCCUGGAAAGUGUGUAUAGGUGAAAGUCUAUCGAGGGUUCGAAUCCCUCUCAGUCCGCCA